Molecule: ribosomal RNA, 476 nt
Filed under: Providencia rettgeri
Lineage: Bacteria; Pseudomonadati; Pseudomonadota; Gammaproteobacteria; Enterobacterales; Morganellaceae
Description: bacterial SSU rRNA
Rfam family: Bacterial small subunit ribosomal RNA
Source: RNAcentral
AGCUCGUGUUGUGAAAUGUUGGGUUAAGUCCCGCAACGAGCGCAACCCUUAUCCUUUGUUGCCAGCGAUUCGGUCGGGAACUCAAAAGAGACUGCCGGUGAUAAACCGGAGGAAGGUGGGGAUGACGUCAAGUCAUCAUGGCCCUUACGAGUAGGGCUACACACGUGCUACAAUGGCGUAUACAAAGAGAAGCGACCUCGCGAGAGCAAGCGGAACUCAUAAAGUACGUCGUAGUCCGGAUUGGAGUCUGCAACUCGACUCCAUGAAGUCGGAAUCGCUAGUAAUCGUAGAUCAGAAUGCUACGGUGAAUACGUUCCCGGGCCUUGUACACACCGCCCGUCACACCAUGGGAGUGGGUUGCAAAAGAAGUAGGUAGCUUAACCUUCGGGAGGGCGCUUACCACUUUGUGAUUCAUGACUGGGGUGAAGUCGUAACAAGGUAACCGUAGGGGAACCUGCGGUUGGAUCACCUCCUUA